This is a long non-coding RNA of Oncorhynchus keta (chum salmon), 799 nucleotides long. RefSeq lists it as uncharacterized. The record is from RefSeq and is a predicted model, not a curated record. The transcript is spliced from 7 exons. Lineage: Eukaryota; Metazoa; Chordata; Actinopteri; Salmoniformes; Salmonidae.
CGGGGCCUGGGUCUCCACCUGGAGGGGAGAGAGUAGUCAGAGACAUAGAGAGAAGGUCUGCACCGGGGCCUGGGUCUCCACCUGGAGGGAGAGAGUAGUCAGAGACAUAGAGAGAAGGUCUGCACCGGGGCCUGGGUCUCCACCUGGAGGGAGAGAGUAGUCAGAGACAGAGAGAGAAGGUCUGCACCGGGGCCUGGGUCUCCACCUGGAGGGGAGAGAGUAGUCAGAGACAGAGAGAGAAGGUCUGCACCGGGGCCUGGGUCUCCACCUGGAGGGGAGAGAGUAGUCAGAGACAUAGAGAGAAGGUCUGCACCGGGGCCUGGGUCUCCACCUGGAGGGGAGAGAGUAGUCAGAGACAUAGAGAGAAGGUCUGCACCGGGGCCUGGGUCUCCACCUGGAGGGAGAGAGUAGUCAGAGACAUAGAGAGAAGGUCUGCACCGGGGCCUGGGUCUCCACCUGGAGGGAGAGAGUAGUCAGAGACAGAGAGAGAAGGUCUGCACCGGGGCCUGGGUCUCCACCUGGAGGGGAGAGAGUAGUCAGAGACAGAGAGAGAAGGUCUGCACCGGGGCCUGGGUCUCCACCUGGAGGGAGAGAGUAGUCAGAGACAGAGAGAGAAGGUCUGCACCGGGGCCUGGGUCUCCACCUGGAGGGGAGAGAGUAGUCAGAGACAUAGAGAGAAGGUCUGCACCGGGGCCUGGGUCUCCACCUGGAGGGGAGAGAGUAGUCAGAGACAUAGAGAGAAGGUCUGCACCGGGGCCUGGGUCUCCACCUGGAGGGAGAGAGUAGUCAGAGACAUAGA